AAAAAAGAAAAUAUGUACAUUCAGCUCUGAAUUAGAUUGGACACUAGAGGGCAGUGUAACCACUGUUAUAAAUACUGCUAAUCUGGACGUCACAAAAUAUUUUUACAGUAUGCUCAGUAUCAUUGCUAAGUUAUUGUAUUCAUUCAGUUAAUGUUUCAGUGUGAAAAACCUGUGAGAUUUUAAACAAAUACAUGGCUAAAACAUUGAGUUAAAACUCUAACAAGCCUGUGUGUACUAAUCUCAGGUAUAUACAGUAAUUGUAAUAGAAUAUUCAUUUUUUCUGUGUUAAUAUGAAUAAUUUUCAGAUUUAAAUUGUCACAAUACUUUUGGUGCUUUGAAAUAGGGGGACUGUGUAUAAAAAAUGGUUGUCAUUUCUAAAAGGUGAUAUGUAUACAAAUAACCAUGAUUUCAGUCACAAUAUGGAUGACACUGUACAUUCAGUCAUUCAGCAGACACUCCAGAACGAGUAUGUAUCCAGAACGUAUCCUGUAGAUGUAGUUAUACUUCUACAUCAUAUUUCCCCUGUUGUGGUUUAGGUGUAGUUAUACUUCUACAUCAUAUUUCUCCAGC
Molecule: long non-coding RNA, 570 nt
Organism: Esox lucius (northern pike)
Lineage: Eukaryota; Metazoa; Chordata; Actinopteri; Esociformes; Esocidae
Source: Ensembl